RNAcentral lists this ribosomal RNA (208 nucleotides) under uncultured bacterium. Its description in RNAcentral is "partial 16S ribosomal RNA". It matches the Rfam family "Bacterial small subunit ribosomal RNA", at positions 1293 to 1500 of the family's 1533-position model. The record is from RNAcentral.
UCGGAUUGUAGUCUGCAACCCGACUACAUGAAGCCGGAAUCGCUAGUAAUCGCGGAUCAGAAUGCCGCGGUGAAUACGUUCCCGGGUCUUGUACACACCGCCCGUCACAUCAUGGGAGUCGGAAAUGCCCGAAGUCUGUGACCCAACCGCAAGGAGGGAGCAGCCGAAGGCAGGUCGGAUGACUGGGGUGAAGUCGUAACAAGGUAAC